CCAAGAAUCAGUGAUUGAUCUUAACAAAGCGCCGAAGGCUGCAAAGAAACCAAGAACCAGAGGUCUAGGAAUUGAAAAAUUAUUGGCGCAGAGGUUUGGUAAUGAAGAUGGCAAUAAAACAGAUGACAUUAAUACACCAUGCACACAGGGAGCUACUCACAAGUCUCCAACUACUGCCGAUUGCAGGACUCCCGGUAGCACUGUAACCUACCAGACAAGUGUUCCUCAC
Daucus carota subsp. sativus is the source of this 229-nucleotide long non-coding RNA. RefSeq lists it as uncharacterized. Lineage: Eukaryota; Viridiplantae; Streptophyta; Magnoliopsida; Apiales; Apiaceae. The record is from RefSeq and is a predicted model, not a curated record. The transcript has 4 exons.